CAUGAAGUCGGAAUUGCUAGUAAUCGCGGAUCAGCAUGCCGCGGCGAAUACGUUCCCGGGCCUUGUACACACCGCCCGUCACACCAUGAGAGCCGGUAACACCCGAAGUCAGGAGCCUAACCGCGAAGGGGGGCACUGCCGAAGGUGGGAUUGGUGAUUAGGGUGAAGUCGUAACAAGGUAGC
This 183-nucleotide ribosomal RNA is filed under the name uncultured bacterium. Its description in RNAcentral is "partial 16S ribosomal RNA". It matches the Rfam family "Bacterial small subunit ribosomal RNA", at positions 1319 to 1500 of the family's 1533-position model. The record is from RNAcentral.